UUUUAAUAAUUUCAUCCAUUUCUACUGAUAAAAAUUGGCAUGACUGACAAAAUAACUAAAUAGUUACAUGUGGCAUGCCAUAUGUAUCUCAUUUCGACAUACAAAGACUAGUUUUAACAAUAGAAAUGGAUGGAAUUUUUAUCA
Molecule: non-coding RNA, 144 nt
Organism: Gossypium raimondii (Peruvian cotton)
Lineage: Eukaryota; Viridiplantae; Streptophyta; Magnoliopsida; Malvales; Malvaceae
Source: Rfam